CGGCGCCCUGGCCCCGGAGCGGUUUAGCCGCUGCCUUGUGUCGCGGCCGCGUGCCGGGCGAUGGCCGCCCAGACCCCCGGGCCCCCGAUCGCCAACCCCGGGGCUUCCCACCCGCGCCUCGGUGGAGGGAGGCCCCGGAGGCGCCAUCGCUCGCGCCUGCCACCUGGACGCUGAAUAAACUGGGAAACAAUUAGGUGGCCGGGUGGGGAAGGUGCUGGGUGACUGCACUGCCAGGCGGCCGCGUGCCCCCGCGCUCGCAGGGGUUGGCGAUUGGGGGCGGUUGGGAGUUUGUGUUUAGGGAGGAAGGUGAGAGGUGCGGGAUCUGCCCACGAGGGCAGUCGCUCUCGGAGAAUCGGGGAAUGGCUCUGUCAGGUCGCAGGCCCUCCUCCGCCUUUAUCCCCAUCACGCACAAAAAGAAUGGGCCUUGCAAGGGAUGUUUAUUAUGCACUUUUAAGUGACUAUUCAGAAAAGAGCAGGAGGCACAAUAAAAAAGGCUUCUGCCCCACCAAUUCCCUUCCCUUGAAGAAAAAAAGAAAGAGAAAGCCACCCACAAAGGGCCAACCCAAGGGGCUAAUAAAAUCUGAGAGCUGUUAGUCCCAAAUACAUUUUGUGCGGGAGUUUGUGAAAGCAACUUUUGCCGAGUGCAAACGUCAGACGAUGAAACUGAAAAUACUUCCAAAGUCACAGGCUCCUCUUCCAAUCACAGCGCCUCACAUUUCCAGCGCUCCGGGAUAAAGUUGUCUGAGGAAAAUAAAAGUGUUGAUAAACCAUGGUUCCAGAUUGUUACUUAUUUUACAACCCUCGGUUUGCAAUCGAUCAUAGCUUGGGCCUAACAGGACUGACUCCGGCUUUUCAUUUGUUUAUAGUGUGUGCAAUGUUUUAUGCCUCAAAUGUACCAUGUCAGCUAUGUAAAAUAAUGCAGUAUUUUUGUUCGCAUCCUGGAUCCACUUGCACAAUGGUUUUUGUUUAAAAUGAAGGCGGUGAUUAUUUUCCAUUAUUACAGAAUGGAAACUUCAAUCCUAAACAUCUGAGAAACAUAGCUGAAGAAUCCACUGCUGAGCUGGGAAAAGCCGAGAGAAGCUCGUGUUUACUUGAUUCACAAAGUGCAAUUGACUCUAUUUAACUUGACCAAUUUAAAUCCAAUCUAAUAAACCACAAGCUUGCUUCCGCUUCAAAAAAGCCAACAGGCCACCCUGAGGCCCAAAGUCCAUCUUUCUCAGUGCCAUGAUGUCAAAUAAACCUGUGAUGCCCUUGUUUUUGCUAAGCGAAUGGCUCAUAUGUUGCAGUUAAUUUUUCUGGUGCAACAAUCACAUUGUAAUUUUCCAUGACUCUUCUCUAUAAGUACAAAGAAACCCUGGAAUCAUGGAAUUUUGAGCCAGAGGGAACCUCUUCACUUUACAUGGGAAGAAAUGGAGAGAGAGAGAGAGAGAGAGAAGUGAAGUGCCUGCCCGCUCUCACACGGGCUCUACCACCUGCCUCCAGGUCUCCCUGCUCCCUAACAGGUGGUUUCUCCCCGCCUCAGCCUCUUGAAGAGAUGGAAGGAAGGAAACUGGGAAAGGACUCAAGAGCAACACUUCAGGAAGCACAGGGAAACCAAGGGAAUGCAGUAACAGAAUUAACAGGAUGUGGGAAAGGUUCGAGUGAUAAAUCCAGGUGGUUAAAUGAGUUUCAAAGCAUCAGGAGCCAGGUCAUAAUAGAGAAACCAUGGGAAGGGCAGAGGCUGUGUAAAAAAUAAUCUGGGAAAAUAAGGACUGUGGAGAGAAAGCAAGUGCUUUUUAAGAUGUGUCAAACAUAGGGUCAAAGUUAGAUCAAGAGGAGAAAAGGAAAAGUCUGGGGGAAUGUCUGUAGACAGGCAGAAAGAGAGUGAGUGAACUGAUGUCCUAAAGAUUCCUUCUGUACGGCGCUGCUGAGGAAGAGAGCGUGACGAACGGCCUCACGAGAAUGAGCUAGUGCAGGGCUGAGAGACACAGGAAUGGCCGCAGUCAUGGUGAAUUGUGGGCAGUGGUGAGAGUUUCGUCCCAGGAGCAUGAUGAGAAUGCCAGCGCCUGACCCACAUCAAGGCUGCUUCAUCUGCGGCGAGAUGGAGAGUGUCCUAAACCAGUCAGCCCUCAGAUGAAGAAGCGUGCUGUCCAAUGUCACCCAGCAGCUGGGUGCCGGGCAGAGGAAAUUCAGGCUUUCUCUUCUGCAUCUGCGCAUGCCCACGGUCACGCCCCUUUCCUGGUUCGGAUUUGGAAUUGUUCAGUUAGGAAGGGCUCUGAAGAGAUGCCUUUCGAUUUCCUUGGGGUUAGCUGGUUCAAAUCUCCCUCAUGUAUAAACUAAGAAUGUGUUCUACAGUGUUCCUCAGCUUAUUAGUUUUCCUGGAAGAAAUGGAUGAUUCUCAUUGUCACUUGAAAACAUCCACAUUUUGGAAAUGCCUGGGCUAGCGAAGUGUAAUAAUAAAAUUCAUUUCAAUUGGUCAGUCUCGAAGGUUAAUUGAGCAGUUAUACUUUAUUCUAAUUAUUUCUGGCUAACAUUGAAGUGAUGGCAAAGUAGUAAGGAUUUUUGGCCAACUCCUUGGGUUUUUUCCUCUCUGUCAUUUUUUUUUUAAUGACUGCCCAGUGUGGGCAAGGACCUACUACUCAAAGCAGAUGACCUUGGCAGCAGUGUUUCUGAAAUCCUGGGUUCUGGAAUACUUUAAGGCUCUUCGUCACCUUUAAGAGCUGUCCUUAUGAGGCCAGGAAUCUAGCUGAGUUUGGUGUGGGUAGACAAUGGGAUGCUCUGGUUGCCUGGAAACCCUGGUGAACCGAUGGUGACCACAUCCGUUAUAAACCGGGGCCUGAUUCUUAGCAACUUCAAAGGUUUCUGGAGCAGCGCUAGCUGCCAGCUCUUCUUACAUAGAGCAACAGGCAGAAAUCGUUGGUAAUCUGGCAAAUGACAAACUUCAUACCCUAGGAUGUUUACUCUCUCUCUGUAUACUGAAUUUGCACACAAUCUAGAGUUAUUAUUUCCUCACAAAUAAUUUCUAUCUAAUGAAUAAUGAUGUCUUUGUUGUGAGCCGAUAGUCCAAGUAGCAAGUUUCCCCUAGUCAGAAUUAUCUACAACUAUUAUGUGUUUUCGCACUCAAACUUUUCUUACAGAAACAAAAACUUUUAUUAAAAUAGUUAGAAAUUAUUUUAAAAUUAGCAUAUAAAAUAAAGAAUGCAAUAUUCAAGCAGGAUACCCAUAAGCCAUUUCAAGCAUAAUUUAUGGUUACAUAGACAAUUUAAACAAUUAGGGAUUUUCCCCCACUGACUAUUAAUUCUUUUUAACGAUGGUUUUUCUCUCUCUGUUCCUCCCAAGCUAAAAAGCACAAGUUAUUUAUCUUUCCUGGUUUGUUCACUAUUUUCCAGGAUUUAUUUACAACCCCCUAAAAACGAGUGUUGAAACUCUUGCAUCUGCCCUAUUUCUGUUUACUCUACCCUUAUCUCCAGCUGGAAAACCAUAAGGAAAAGGAAUUUAAAGAAAAUUCUAAAUUCAUUACUCCCACUCUCUUCCUAUCUCACCAUAUUUGACUCAUCAAUAUGUGCUGAGCACUCACCAUGAGACAGACAUUGAGAAACAGGUGAACAAGUGUGGUCCCAGCCCUCCAGGAGCUUACAACCACCUGCGGACGGGGUACCUACAUGUACCCAGGAAAUGAUUAUGUAACGGAGUAAGUGCUAUAAGCACUUAGCCCAGCCUCAAAACUUUGGCGUAUUUUCAUAAGAAGAUGAAAAAAAUGAGGAAAAUUGUAUGAUAGCUUAUUUCAUGUUAACUUCAUGAUGGUCUUUUUCUAGCCAUAGACAUCAUCUUAAAAUCCCUCCUCUCCAACAGGUACUAGAAAUAUUCACUUAUUUACAGUUCUAGUAAGCUGUUAGCAACCACAGAUUUAAUUCUAAAUUAUCCCAUAGAAUGUACCUUUUCACAGAGCUUGAGUUUUAAAAGAAAUCCCAGACAUACUUGGUUCAGCAUUGACCUGUGUGACAUUGACUUGUUAGAGUGCCAUAUAUAUGAGAUCUAUUUUAAAUAUGUGUAUAUGUACAUCUAAUAUAUACAUGUUUCACUCUGGAUAUUAAAUUACAAGUUUGGUAGUGACUUGAGGUGCCAUUAAGAAAUUGGUCUAAGAGACCAAAUAUAAAAGUUGUCAGGCAAUUAGGAAUUGGUGAAAGUUCUUGGACUUGACAAAUGGUAUUAUAAACAAAUAUUGCUGUAGCUUGAGAAGGAUGGACCAACAAAUGUAUGACCACUAGCCAGAAGAAACCAUGGCUGGAGUGUGUCCUGACUUCAGGGGAUGUAAAGAGAAUGUUGGAGUGACUGCAAAGUAGAAUAUAGGAAUCUGCAUCCUCGGAGACUGUACUCUGACAAACCCGUUAUAUCAGAUGCUAUUGCUUUCACCUGUUUGUAGCAGGCCCCUACUCUACUGGCAUCACUAGGUAGGAAUUUGUUUUUCACUUGGCAGGAGGCAGGCCAGGGCUAGUUCAGAGGCCCUACAAUUCCAGGAGAAAUUCCGUUUCCUCUCUCUUCCUCUCUAUCAUCCUUAGCAUCUACUUUUUCCCCUUAUGGUGACAAGAUGACCCCUUUACCUCCAGGCAUCGUGUCUGUAUUCCAUGUAGAAAAGAAGAAGGGCAAAAGGUAUGUACCAGCUGAGUUCAUCCCUUUUUAUAGGAAAACAAUAGCUUGCUAAGGCCUCACCAAGUAGAGUCUACUUCUGUACCACUGGAUAGAACUAGGUCACAUGGCCUGAGCGUUAAAGAAUCUGGGGAGGUGAGAAAUGCUAACAGGGCACAUAGCCCAGGCCCAAACAAAUCCAAGGUAUCUUGUUAAGGCAAAAAGGAGAAAUGGACAUUGGGUAUAGAACCAGUGCUGAUUCCGUCAGUGUUUCCAAUUUUAAAAGAUGUCACCUCACACACUAAUGCAUUCAACUACCCUGUGUUUAUAUACAAUGUAGUACUGUUGUAAAAUAAACAUAUCAAAUCAUUUUUGUAUCUCAGUACUCUUUCCUUCAGUAAAGAGGUAGCAUUUUUGUAAAUGUAUCCAGUAACUUGACCAAUUUUAGAGGCUGUCAAGAAACCCAAUAUUACUUUAUAGUAAUAAAGAUAUAUACUCUACUUCAUUCUGGAUCUUAAUCUCACACUAUGCUAUAUUUUUAAAGGGUUUUGUGUCCUUACUGCUGGAAGUUUAUUUGCUGGCUUAUAAUAAAUGUAUGGCUAACAUUCAGUAAUGCUUUAAUACACAAGACCGGUGUGAAGGUAUUUGAGCAACCCCGGGAAUUGUGGUGAUCUGGGUGGUGAAAGAAGAGGAAGCGUUGGAUGGGCAAUAUAUUUCAAUGAUUAUAUAUGCCUAUCAUUAAAAAGCAUUUAUUAAGCACCUAUAUGCACGUAUCACUGUUGUCAAAGAGAUGUUUUACUCCAAUCAACUCUGGAUUUUAUUAAUCCUUUUACCUAUUUUUUAUAAACUGUUUUUCCACUCAGCAAUAUCUCAACCAGAGUAGACAGAGAGGGGCAGAUAAAGCUCAAACCAGUCAACCUAAUCGUGUUAUUAGCUAUAGUUAAAAGUUUGCUGAGGGAGGAGAUUGAAACUAUUUGUAAAAUGAGGUUUGUGUUUGUGGAUUUCAGUUAUCCCUGCUAUUCCUAGUACCUCUUUCCAUGGACAAUCAAGAGUUGGAUGAAUCUAAAACUAUUGUUUCGGAGCAAGAUUUGGUUGCUAUCUGUCAGAGAUCAUAAUUAGCAUCAAAAAGCAUUUAUUCCACCCUACUUUUUUAAAGGCAUUGUACUAGCUGGUAGCAGUGGGGACAUUUGGAAAAAGUAAUGUUAUAGCAGCCCUCUUACCACAUUGCACAUUUUCUUAGAAAAAGCAAGUAAUGAGUACAUAAGUGUAUAUAACCUUCAACAUGAUGGGAGGAAAGAAUACAAGUGUUUUUUUCCUCAAUAGUUAGAUUCGCAUUCUUAGGAGUCUGGCUGAAGGCAUCAGCCAACGUGUAUCAUCUCAUCCAGUUAUCCCAAAAGGGAAGUUUGAAUGUUCAAUUUACACAAACGUGUUGACUUAGGUUUUGCAAAUGAAGGACUUUUUUCUAAACAUCUCAUGCUAUGCUCCACGUUAGACUCUGCUCUCAGUCUUCCUUUGAUUGCAGCACAAAGAAACUUGACUCUGCCAAUUACUGUGUGACCUUAGGCAAGUCACUCACUUAACCUUUCUGGGCUUCCUUUCCUUCUUCUUAAAGUGGGGGCAGCAAAAUCUACUCUGCAGGGUUGUUAAUGGGGGAAAAAAGGUGACUUUGAAUGUAAAAUCACUUUGUAAAAUGUGACGUGCUAUACUAAUAUAUUAUUGUUUCAUUAAUCCAAACAUCCUAUUGAGGAGUUUUUAUCUGAUGCUGAGCAUCUGAAUGACUUUGAGCUUGGAAUAACUUUGAUGAAGUACCACACGGUCUCAAAGACCAGCCAUCGUUGGCCAGCUAAUUGGAAAAUCUCUGGUUUUGAAGUGAGUUCCAAGGUGGUAUAUAAUGCACUUCUGCUUCAGCCAUCCUAUUUAGGAUAAGCUACUUCGGAAAUAGUCACAAAUCAUUUUCCAGGUUUGCUAUAGUAAAUGGGUACUCAGCCUUCAGAAAGAACAGAAAGGUAGGUAGCCAUUGUCAUCAUUCAUUCAUUUAGUGUAGAGUGUUAUUAAUACCUAUGAAAUGUAUCAGAAGAAACCUUUACAUUUUUAUAUGCAUUUGCCCUUUUAAGGAAUGAAGUAACUAAAAUUAAGAUGACAUUGCUGAAAUGGGUGUGUCAGUCUUCACAAAUUGCUACCACCCAAAAUCUGGUUAUCGUUUUUCCUUUAUUUAUUUAAUUUUUAUUUUGUUUUAUUGAGGUAACAUUGGUUUAUAACAUUAUAUAAAUUUCAAGUGUACAUGAUUAUAUUUUGACUUCUGUAUAGACUACAUCAUGUUCACCACCAAAAGUCUAGUUGCCAUCCAUCACCAUACAUAUGUGCCCUUUACCCCUUUCGCCCUCCCCCUGCCCCCUUCCUCUCUGGUAACCACCAAUUUGUUCUCUCUAUCUAUGUGUUUGUUGGUUUGUUGGUUUAUCUUCUACAAUGUAUGAAAUCAUAUGGUAAUAGUCUCUCUCCCUCUGACUUAUUUCACUUAGCAUAAUACCCUCAAAGUCAUCCCUGUUGUCGCAAAUGGCAGUAUUUUUUUCUUUUUUACCACAUUUUCCUUAUCCAUUCAUCAGUUGAGGGGCAUUAAGUUUGCUUCCAUAUCUUGGCUAUUGUGAUUAAUACUGCAGUGAACACAGGGGUGUAUGUAUCUUUUCAAAUUAGUGUCUUCUCCUUUAUAACCUAAGUUUCAGCUUUGCUCUACUCAAAGGACUCCCAAUGAUGAAAAUAUCAUGUAAUUCUAGCCUAAUAUUUUGCAUUAAAUCAUCCAUGUGCUUUCAACUCUUUGGUUGUUGAUAUCACUAUAAAUCUUCUCUUGGGUACCCAGUUUUUAUAUCAAGCAUUUAUAAACUUCAUAAACAUUUGGUGGAAGAUGUUUUUUAUUAUUAUUUCUUUCUAAAUUUCUGCUCAAUUCUUCUGGUGAUUUGUAGCAGUAGGUGCAUGCUAAAUAACAUCAGGUAUUCCACCAAAGUAUUUUUUAAUGCACGCUUCCAAAAAUUUGUGGGUAAUUUCUAAAAUAGGUUCUGAGCAGAGGGUCUUAGAGAGGAAAAAGGAUCAUUAGUAUCCCUCCUCGGCUAAUUUAGCCAAGUACAUUCCACAACUCUCCCAAUCAGUAUAUUAAGCAGAUGUGGUCUUUGUCCACCUAGUAAGUUGCGUUAGACCUUUCAACACUCUGCAGCCUUUUUAUCACUCAGCUGCCAAGUUCCCUAGGGUAAUCAUAGACAGCUUGUCAAUUUAAUUGCAAAGAAACAGGCUUUCUUGUGACCAUUCCAAUUUUAGCUGCUACUUUAAAUUGUACAUGAUAGUUCUUCCAUGCUGUCUGCCCUUUAAACAGUGUGGAUCUCUGCAAGCCUCUUAAUGGUGAUGGAAAAAGGAGGCAACGCUGAAAAUCUGGCUUGCUGAUAGAGACUGUAACAUGCAUUUUAUUAAGUUGCUGCUUUAGGAGGGGAAGCUUUUCCUUAAGCCCAGUAUGCUGCCAUUACAUCACCUAAAUUAUUUUUUUUCUUUUCAAUCUUCCGCUUUCAUGCACAUUUUCCUCCUUUCUGGGUGAUAGAGGAUUCAUAGGCCAUCUGGAUUCUGAAACAUCUGGACACUGAAUUUCUGCAGAGGAGAAUCAGAGGGAAGAGACGAUCAGUGGUACUGGGUGUCUCUGGAGAGAUUUAAAUCAACGAGGAUAUUUUGGUUGUCUCCCUUUUGGAAAGUUAACACAAAAAGUGAAAGGAAAAAACAGCACCUCAUAGGAACCCAGUGUUUCAAGAAUGCUAAGAGUAUAAAAGACAGUCGGACUUUUAGAUAUAAAUUUAGGUCACUAACUGAAUACGUCUUUAUAUUAGAUAUCAUUUCUAGAAUUUUCCCCUAUUUUUUCAUUGUCAUGCAUUUUUGGAUUUAAUUUAGUUAGAUAUACUUUUAACAGUGCUGAAUUUAGAUACUGCAUCAUUUUUGCAUAACAUAUUUUACCUUAAGCUAUGUAUAAUUCAAUUCAAUAAAAUUUUAUUAAUCAAGUGUUAUAAGUAAAGUCAUAAAACUAACAUAUCAAAAAUGUUCAUGUGUUCAGCUUGAUCGAAAGACUAGAUAUGGGCACCACUUAGGUAAAUCAAGAAGAGUUACUUUUCUAAGAUAUGCAGAAGAAUAUUAGUACAAAGAGAUAAAUAAUGUUUCCCAGGUCAGGUGGAGUUGUAAGCUUGUGAAUCCAAAAAUCAAGAACCAAAAUGAUAACAUAUGUGUGUGAGAAGGUCUUGUUAGACCUUUGGAAAGUCCAGCUGCCCUCCUACAAGCUCAGCUUUAUGUGUAUAUGCAUGUGUGUGUGUGUAUGUGUGUAAGUGUGUGUGUGUGUAAGGAUUUGCACAGAGACAGAGGCUGCCCUGGAAUGUGCAGGGGACCACCUCCUCUGGACCAUGAAUCUCGGUGAUGUACCAUAUAUAAUCUGACUACUCAGUUCAGUACAGUCUAGUCAGGCGUGAGCACAGGGCUUAUUUAUCACUCUCAGCUGUUCCCCGCUAACACAGCCUGGUCCACCAUCUUGACUGAACUUGAGCUGCAGAACCAGAACAAGGAUGAGUCACCCAGAUUGCUCAGCAAAUCACCGCAGCAGGCCCUUAGACCAGUCUUAAAGCUCCUCCUUUGUGUAAAGGCACUAGACUUAGCUGUCAGGCGAGUGUGAAGAGCUGUUCAGAUUCUAUGAUUUAUUUCCCAUGCUAUUGCAAAAUUUUAUUUUUUCUUUCACUAUAUUUUCUCUGGUAAAUAUUUGGGCUGUUAAUAGAUUUUCUUUCCUGAAAAAAUUGAAAUUGCUACUCUUUAAGUACUCUUUAAGAGUACUCUUUAAGAGAUAUGAGUUUGAAGCAACCAGUCUUAUGCGCCUUCACGCAGUUUUCUUGAAGUACGUGAUGCUCUGCCGUAUAUAAAAACAGUUAAGACUGUCAGUUUCUUGAUUUCUAGGAAACCAGAACUGCUCAAAAGAAAAAGAAUCCAACAGUAAAAUUUUAGUAACUACUUUUUUUUAAAAUCAGGCAUACCUACAUUUAAAAAUAAUAACUCUCUGAAAUAAGGGACUACAGACAUAUUCUCUGAUUUCUGCCAGUUCAUUGUGUCCUUAAUUUCCUCUAACUGCGUCUUCAGCGAGCCCCACAAUGAAGUACAAUAUUAGAUGUUCACUUGUAUGAUAUCAACCUUGUAUGAAGAGAAUGAAUAAAAAAUGAAGUUCUUAGCUGUGAUCUAUUUCAGAUUAGCCAUUUUCAUUUAUAAAACUGUUUAUUUUACUUUGUCAGCUUGAAGGUCAAUCUAACUUCAAAUUGCAUAUUGCAGAAUUUCAACAAAGAUAUGAGGCCCAUCGCUGCUCCCUUUAAGACUAAAGGUGAAAAGCUGAGUCUUAACCGGGAUAUUGGGUAGAGCUUUAUGAAAUGGACCAGAUCACAUUGAUAUAAGACUUGCAAAGACACUUCACUUUGAAGUCAAAACAUCAGCGCCUGGACAGGGUGGCAGGUGGCAUCAGUAUUAGCAAGUAUUAAUUGUGGGCAUUAACCCAGGACAAGAAAACACUUGUCACACACUAAGGAAAGAAUGAACAAUAGCCAUCAUAUCAGCUACCGUUUAUUGAACACUUACUGUAUAUCAGGCAUCAUUCUAUGCAUUUUAGAUUAUCUCAUGAUGUCUCCACAAUAACUCUUUGAAGUAGGUACUAUUGCUAUCACAUUUUACAGAUGAAAAAGCUGAGGGACAAGGAAGUUAAGACUCUUGGCCAAGAUCACACAGCAAGUACAUGAGGGAGCAAGGUUUCAAACCCAGGCAGAAAGACUCCAAAACUCAUAUUCUAAAUGACAAGUGGCACCUAAUGGAGCAUUUAACCUGAAAUGUGGAGUCCAAGCAAAACCCCCAUCAUUAAACCAACAGGCUGCCCUCAGAAAUUCCAUGCUCAGGAGGAGCUCAAGAUAUGACAGGUGAACCAAUGCCUCACCAUAAAGUGCCAGGGGAGUGACAGAAAGAGUGACAGACAAAUUAAAGAAUCAUUUUCAGAACUUGAAAAACAAGUUGUUGUGCAGGUAGAAACGUUCUUUUUUUCCACUGGGAUUUAGUGAAGCAGGUCCCACAGCUGCCCAGAAACAUGCGCAAAUGGCCUUUGGAUUGUGCCUUGACAGCCUCUAGUGAGGAAUAACUCUGCUGCCAGCAACUAAGACUAACAGCUCCAAAGUAAAGAAGUAAACAACACUGAGUUUUCCUCGCUCCAAAGAAAGCCUGAGAGGACUCCGUUGCCAUCAGCUCCUGGCUUCCCCUUUGCUUUUUUCACUCUGAAGAUUUGCAGUCAGGAGGCACCUGCUCAGAACAGAGAUUACUCGCAUACGGGAUCAACAGAAGAGAGUGCAAAGGUCCAGGCCAGGAGCCAGCUGUCAUCUAAAGAGGGACUUCAGCUGCAAAGCCUGUCCAAACAUCCAUCACAAACAGGUUUUGGAAGUUUUUAUAUGGGUUUGAGCCAGGUUUUUACCUUAUCCAUAUCCCAAAAAGAUGAUCCAUCCCCGUGCCAGAAACUUUCAAAUAAUAAUAAAAAUUAUUUGAUUAUAAGAAAGAAAGGGAAAAGAAAAUGACCAGGCCUCAAACAGAGAAUGACUCAAACAGAGCCUGAGCAGUUGGGAGGAGUCUCCCCGUUGGAGAAUCUACACCAUAUUACAGACUGAAUUUCAACAAGCUAUUUGGGAUGAUUUCGUGACUAAGCAUGAAGCUGGAAUUAUACUGCCUCCUUGGUCAAAGUGCUGUGGACACUUUCCCUUCAUUAUUUCAGGUUUUUUUCUAUGCUGGCACUUUAUUCAAGCUCACAAAAUAACUGUACUUUGUAAACCACAAAAGAAAAUGUACGCCCUUUUAUUUCUAUUGUGUUGGGAGGAUUUGGUGGGGGGUGUUAAUGUUAACUGUUAUUGAUCAUGUUAUCAUUAUUAUUACCAACUUUAACCUAGUCUUCCAUAUCCAUAUAUUUUGCAUAUGCAAAACAACAAAAGCAAA
Molecule: long non-coding RNA, 11619 nt
Organism: Equus caballus (horse)
Lineage: Eukaryota; Metazoa; Chordata; Mammalia; Perissodactyla; Equidae
Source: Ensembl